UUGGAGGGCAAGUCUGGUGCCAGCAGCCGCGGUAAUUCCAGCUCCAAUAGCGUAUAUUAAAGUUGUUGCAGUUAAAAAGCUCGUAGUUGAAUUUCGGGGUCAGUAGGUUGGUCGUGCCUAUGGUAUGUACCGGCUUUACUGAUUCCUCCUUCUUGAAGAACUGUAAUGUCAUUAAUUUGGUGUUGCAGGGAAACAGGACUGUUACUUUGAAAAAAUUAGAGUGUUUAAAGCAGGCUAACGCUUGAAUACAUUAGCAUGGAAUAAUGAAAUAGGACGUUCGAUCCUAUUUUGUUGGUUUCUAGGAUUGACGUAAUGAUUAAUAGGGAUAGUUGGGGGCAUUAGUAUUCAAUUGUCAGAGGUGAAAUUCUUGGAUUUAUUGAAGACUAACUACUGCGAAAGCAUUUGCCAAGGAUGUUUUCAUUAAUCAAGAACGAAAGUUAGGGGAUCGAAGACGAUCAGAUACCGUCGUAGUCUUAACCAUAAACUAUGCCGACUAGGGAUCGGAUGAUGUUAAUUUUUUAAUGACUCAUUCGGCGCCUUACGGGAAAC
This 549-nucleotide ribosomal RNA is filed under the name uncultured Glomeromycotina. RNAcentral's name for it is "SSU rRNA". It matches the Rfam family "Eukaryotic small subunit ribosomal RNA", at positions 548 to 1098 of the family's 1831-position model. Lineage: Eukaryota; Fungi; Glomeromycota. The record is from RNAcentral.